Molecule: long non-coding RNA, 963 nt
Filed under: Homo sapiens (human)
Lineage: Eukaryota; Metazoa; Chordata; Mammalia; Primates; Hominidae
Description: HSALNT0281020
Source: RNAcentral
UCUGGGGUCCUGUAUUACUUCGUUUGGAUUACUGUAAAGAAAUACCAGAGACUGGAUAAUUUAGAAAGAAAAGUGAUUUAAUUGACUGACGGUUCUGCAGGCGGUACAGGAAGUGUGGUGCUGGCAUCUGCUUCUGUAGGCCUCAGGAAGCCUACAAUCAUGGUGGAAAGUGAAUGGGGAGCAGGCAAGAGCCAGAGCAAGAGAGUGGGGAGGUGCCACAUACUUUUAAACAACCAGAUCUCCCAUGAACUCACUCAUCACCAAGGGGAUGGCGCUAAGCCAUUCAUGAGGAGUCAGCCCUCAUGAUCCAAACACCUCCCACCAGGCCCCACCUCCAAAACUGGCCAUUACAUUUCAACAUGAGAUUUGGAGGGGACAAACAUCCAAACCAUAUCAGGGCUGAAAUAACCUGGGGACCUCUAGUGGGCAGAUAGGCUGGUGACCACGUUCUUCAGGGUGCUGGUAAUUUGUCUUAUUAAUUCAUAGGCUUUCAGAAGAAGAGAAGCCAAAUGUGGACUUCAGCAGAUGGGGAGAACAGCACAUCCCCCAGAGAUCAUGGUCUUUUAUCUGGAUGCAGUGACCAGCUUGAGGUAGGUUUCAUACCUUUGCUAGAAGUCUUGCUGGAAUGUGAUUGAAUGACGGUGGCAGCUGAUGUACUAUUAGAAGACAGAGCUAUAGAUGGACAUUUCUCAGUAAUCAGAUGGAGUUUUGCUCUUGUCACCCAGGCUGGACUGCAGUGGUGCGAUCUCAGUUCACUACAACCUCUGCCUCCCGGGUUCAAGCAAUUGCCCUGCCUCAGCCUCCCAAGUAGCUGGUACUAUAGGUGUGUGCCACUACGCCCGGCUAAUUUUUGCAUUUUUAGCAGAGACGGGGUUUCACCAUGUUGGCCAGGUUGGUCUCCAUCUCCUGACCUCAGGUGAUCUGCCCACCUUGGCCUCCCAAAGUGCUGGGAUUACAGGCGUG